ACACAAACCCCGAGAAAGCAUUCCUGGAAAUCUCGGCCCAAAAAAGGACGUUUAGUAAUUCUAAAAGGGACUACAGGAUGAAAAACAAUAGUUUUGGCAGUUAAAGUUUGAGAUUCGAUAAUGCCGUAGAUCCGUUUGGUCAUCAGGUGUAACGAGCCACACCCAUGUCUGGUUAGAGUAGUGUGCUAGGCUCAGACUAGAUAAGAAACGGGGAACAAACUGAUGAAAGAAUGAUCAUACCGAGCGAAUUCACUCAGAACUAACAAGAAUGAUAACAUGCUCCGACUGGAGCGGUUUAGGAACUGCUGGAAGGCUCUAGGGGAAUAAAGAUGGAAUGACUUCUAAUUUUUAGGUCCGUAUGAUUUGAAAUACUUGCACACAAACCACGCGAAAGCGUUCCUGGAAAUCUCAGCCCAAAAAAGGACGUUUAGUAAUUCUAAAAGGGACUACAGGAUGAAAAACAAUAGUUUUGGCAGUUAAAGUUUGAGAUUCGACAGUGCCGUAGAUCCGUUUGGUCAUCAGGUAUUACGAGCCACACCCAUGUCUAGCUAGAAUAGUGUGCUAGGCUCAGGCUAGAGAAGAAACGGGGAACAAACUGAUGAAAGAAUGAUCAAACCGAGGGAAUUCACUCAGAACUAACAAUAAUGAUAACGUGCUCCGACUGGUGCGGUUUAGGAACUGCUGGAAGGCUCUAGGGGAAUAAAGAUGGAAUGACUUCUAAUUUUUAGGUCCGUAUGAUUUGAAAUACUUGCACACAAACCGCGCGAAAGCGUUCCUGGAAAUCUCAGCCCAAAAAAGGACGUUUAGUAAUUUUAAAAGGGACUAUAGGAUGAAAAACAAUAGUUUUGGCAAUUAAAGUUUGAGAUUCGACGGUGUCGUAGAUCCGUUUGGUCAUCAGGUGUUACGAGCCACACCCAUGUCUAGCUAGAAUAGUAUGUCAGGCUCAGGUUAGAGUAGAAACGGGGAACAAACUGAUGAAAGAAUGAUCAUACCAAGGGAAUUCACUCAGAACUAUCAAGAAUGAUAACGUGCUCCGACUGGAGUGAUUUAGGAACUGCUGGAAGGCUCUAGGGGAAUAAAGAUGGAAUGACUUCUAAUUUUUACGUCCGUAUGAUUUGAAAUACUUGCACACAAAUCACGCAAAAGCGUUCCUGGAAAUCUCAGCCUAAAAAAGGACGUUUAGUAAUUCUAAAAGGGACUACAGGAUGAAAAACAAUAGUUUGGGCAGUUAAAAUUUGAGAUUCGACGGUGCCGUAGAUCCGUUUGGUCAUCAGGUGUUACGAGCGACACCCUUGUCUAGCUAGAAUAGUGUGUUAGGCUCAGACUAGAGAAGAAACGGGGAACAAAGUGAUGAAAGAAUGAUCAUACCGAGGGAAUUCACUCAGAACUAACAAGAAUGAUAACGUGCUCCGACUGGAGCGGUUUAGUAACUGCUGGAAGGCUCUAGGGGAAUGAAGAUGGAAUGACUUCUAAUUUUUAGGUCCGUAUGAUUUGAAAUACAUGCACACAAACCCUGAGAAAGCGUUCCUGGAAAUCUCGGUCGAAAAAAGGAUGUUUAAUAAUUCUAAAAGGGACUACCGGAUGAAAAACAAUAGUUUUGGCAGUUAAAGUUUGUGAUUCGAUGGUGCCGUAGAUCUGUUUGGUCAUCAGGUGUUACGAGCCACACCCAUGUCUAUCUAGAAUAGUGUGUUAGGCUCAGGCUAGAGCAGAAACGGGGAACAGACUUAUGAAAGAAUGAUCAUACCGAGGGAAUUCACUCAGAACUAACAAGAAUGAUAACGUGCUCCGACUGGCGCGGUUUAGGAACUGCUGGAAGGCUCUAGGGGAAUAAAGAUGGAAAGACUUCUAAUUUUUAGGUCCGUAUGAUUUGAAAUACUUGCACACAAACCGCACGAAAGCGUUCCUGGAAAUCUCAGCCUAAAAAGGAUGUUUAGUAAUUCUAAAAGGGACUACAAGAUGAAAAAUAAUAGUUUGGGCAGUUAAAAUUUGAGAUUCGACGAUGCCGUAGAUCCGUUUGGUCAUCAGGUGUUAUGAGCCACACCCAUGUCUAGCUAGAAUAGUGUGUUAGGCUCAGGCUAGAGAAGAAACGGGGAACAAACUGAUGAAAGAAUGAUCAUACCGAGGGAAUUCACUCAGAACUAACAAGAAUGAUAACGUGCUCCGACUGGAGCAGUUUAGAAACUGCUGGAAGGCUCUAAUGGAAUAAAGAUGGAAUGCCUUCAAAUUUCUAGGUCCGUAUGAUUUGAAAUACUUGCACACAAACCGCUCGAAAGCGUUCCUGGAAAUCUCAGCCCAAAAAAGGACGUUUAGUAAUUCUAAAAGGGACUACAGGAUGAAAAACAAUAGUUUUGGCAGUUAAAGUUUGAGAUUCGAUGGUGCCGUAGAUCCGUUUGGUCAUCAGGUGUAACGAGCCACACACAUGUCUAGCUAGAGUAGUGUGCUAGGCUCAGACUAGAGAAGAAACGGGGAACAAAGUGAUGAAAGAAUGAUCAUACCGAGGGAAUUCACUCAGAACUUACAAGAAUGAUAACGUGCUCCGACUGGAGCGCUUUAGUAACUGCUGGAAGGCUCUAGGCGAAUAAAGAUGGAAUGACUUCUAAUUUUUAGGUCCGUAUGAUUUGAAAUACUUGCACACAAACCACGCAAAACCGUUCCUAGAAAUCUCGGUCGAAAAAAGGACGUUUAGUAAUUCUAAAAGGGACUACAGGAUGAAAAACAAUAGUUUUGGCAGUUAAAGUUUGAGAUUCGAUGGUGCCGUAGAUCCGUUUGGUCAUCAGGUGUUACGAGCCACACCCAUGUCUAGCUAGAGUAGUGUGCUAGGUUCAGACUAGAGAAGAAACGGGGAACAAA
This 2850-nucleotide long non-coding RNA is filed under the name Triticum aestivum (bread wheat). Its description in RNAcentral is "long non-coding RNA (TAES_LNC019905)". The record is from RNAcentral. Lineage: Eukaryota; Viridiplantae; Streptophyta; Magnoliopsida; Poales; Poaceae.